GACAGAGGAGCCAAGCGUUGUCCGGAGUAACUGGGCGUAAAGCGCACGCAGGUGGUUCUGUGCGUGGGGUGUGAAAGCUCUCGGCUUAACUGAGAGAGGCCACCUCAUACGGCAGAGCUCGAGCCCGUGAGAGGUCCACGGAAUUGCCGGUGUAGUGGUGAAAUGCGUAGAGAUCGGAAAGAACACCAACGGCGAAAGCACUCUGCUGGGCCGACACUGACACUGAGAGACGAAAGCUAGGGGAGCGAAUGGG
This 253-nucleotide ribosomal RNA is filed under the name uncultured bacterium. RNAcentral's name for it is "partial 16S ribosomal RNA". It matches the Rfam family "Bacterial small subunit ribosomal RNA", at positions 524 to 776 of the family's 1533-position model. The record is from RNAcentral.